RNAcentral lists this ribosomal RNA (1388 nucleotides) under metagenome. RNAcentral describes it as "bacterial LSU rRNA". It matches the Rfam family "Bacterial large subunit ribosomal RNA", at positions 1461 to 2925 of the family's 2925-position model. The record is from RNAcentral.
AAAGCACAGGGACACAUAUGAAGUCUCAGAGCCGGGUGUUGGUUCCGGUAGAGAUCGAGGGAAGUUAGUACCGAAGUCUGAGAUGGAAGAUGGCGAGAAAAGCUGUGUGUAUUUCUGAGGUGCCCGUACCGCAAACCGACACAGGUAGGUAGGAAGAAGAUUCUAAGGCCAACGGGAGAAGGGUUGUUAUGGAACUCGGCAAAUUGACCCCGUAACUUCGGGAGAAGGGGUGCUCCAGAGAUGGAGCCGCAGAGAAUCGGCCCAAGCAACUGUUUACCAAAAACACAGGUUUGUGCUAAAUCGAAAGAUGACGUAUACGAGCUGACGCCUGCCCGGUGCUGGAAGGUUAAGAGGAGAUGUGCAAGCAUUGAAUCGAAGCCCCAGUGAACGGCGGCCGUAACAAUAACGGUCCUAAGGUAGCGAAAUUCCUUGUCAGGUAAGUUCUGACCCGCAUGAAAGGCGUAAUGAUUUGGGCACUGUCUCAACAGCCCGCCCGGCGAAAUUGUAGUACCGGUGAAGAUGCCGGUUACCCGCGACAAGACGGAAAGACCCCAUGGAGCUUUACUGUAGCCUAAUAUUGGGUUUCGAUGUUGCAUGCACAGGAUAGAUGGGACUCUGGGAAACCAAGGCUUUGGCUUUGGCGGAGAGGCCGUUGGGAUACCAUCCUUGCGAUAUUGGAAUUCUAACCUGCGGCUCUGAAUCGAGUCGGGGGACAUUGUUAGGUGGGCAGUUUGACUGGGGCGGUCGCCUCCUAAAGAGUAACGGAGGCGUUCAAAGGUUCGCUCAGCUUGAACGGAAAUCAAGCAAAAGAGUGCAAACGCAGAAGCGAGCCUAACUGCGAGACUGACGGGUCGAGCAGUAACGAAAGUUGGAGUUAGUGAUCCGGUGGUAUGUGAGUGGAAAUGCCAUCGCUCAACGGAUAAAAGUUACCCUGGGGAUAACAGGCUGAUCUCCCCCAAGAGUCCACAUCGACGGGGAGGUUUGGCACCUCGAUGUCGGCUCAUCGCAUCCUGGGGCUGUAUUCGGUCCCAAGGGUUUGGCUGUUCGCCAAUUAAAGCGGUACGCGAGCUGGGUUCAGAACGUCGUGAGACAGUUCGGUCCCUAUCUGUCGUGGGCGCAGGAUAUUUGAUGGGAGCUGUCCCUAGUACGAGAGGACCGGGACGGACGUACCUCUGGCGCACCAGUUGUUCCGCCAGGAGCAUAGCUGGGCAACUACGUACGGAUCGGAUAAACGCUGAAAGCAUCUAAGCGUGAAGCCGACCCAAAGAUAAGAUAUCCCACUGAUUGAAUCAGGUAAGAUCCCUUGUAGACUACGAGGUUGAUAGGCAUGAUGUGUAAGUGGAGCGAUCCAUUCAGCAAGUGUGUACUAAUAGAUCGAGGGCUUGACC